This 493-nucleotide ribosomal RNA is filed under the name fungal endophyte sp. DM150. Its description in RNAcentral is "eukaryotic LSU rRNA". It matches the Rfam family "Eukaryotic large subunit ribosomal RNA", at positions 147 to 657 of the family's 3401-position model. Lineage: Eukaryota; Fungi. The record is from RNAcentral.
AAUUUGUAGAGGACGCCUUUGGCGCGGUGCCUUCCGAGUUCCCUGGAACGGGACGCCUUAGAGGGUGAGAGCCCCGUACGGUUGGACACCAAGCCUCUGUAAGGCCCCUUCGACGAGUCGAGUAGUUUGGGAAUGCUGCUCUAAAUGGGAGGUAAAUUUCUUCUAAAGCUAAAUACUGGCCAGAGACCGAUAGCGCACAAGUAGAGUGAUCGAAAGAUGAAAAGCACUUUGAAAAGAGGGUUAAAUAGCACGUGAAAUUGUUGAAAGGGAAGCGUUUGCGACCAGACCUCUCCCCGGCGGGUCACCUGGUGUUCUUCACCGGGGCACUUCGCCGGGGCAGAGGCCAGCAUCGGUUUCCGCAGGGGGAUAAAAGCUUAGGGAACGUAGCUCCUUCGGGAGUGUUAUAGCCCUCUGCACAAUGCCCCUGCGGGGACCGAGGACCGCGCCCCCGGGCAAGGAUGCUGGCGUAAUGGUCGCCAACGACCCGUCUUGA